Molecule: transfer RNA, 85 nt
Filed under: Desulfurococcaceae archaeon
Lineage: Archaea; Thermoproteati; Thermoproteota; Thermoprotei; Desulfurococcales; Desulfurococcaceae
Description: tRNA-Ser
Source: RNAcentral
UCCCAGAUGAAACGCGUGACGGACAUAGGCAAGCUUUGAGAGCUGGUGGGCGUAGCCCACGCGGGUUCGAAUCCCGCCCCCGGCG